This 75-nucleotide transfer RNA is filed under the name Chthonomonas sp. Its description in RNAcentral is "tRNA-Gly". It matches the Rfam family "tRNA". Rfam says of the family: Transfer RNA (tRNA) molecules are approximately 80 nucleotides in length. Their secondary structure includes four short double-helical elements and three loops (D, anti-codon, and T loops). Lineage: Bacteria; Bacillati; Armatimonadota; Chthonomonadia; Chthonomonadales; Chthonomonadaceae. The record is from RNAcentral.
GCGGGAGUAGCUCAGUGGUAGAGCAGGACCUUCCCAAGGUCAAGGUCGCGGGUUCGAGUCCCGUUUCCCGCUCCA